This 65-nucleotide transfer RNA is filed under the name Penthimia melanocephala. RNAcentral describes it as "tRNA-Ala". The record is from RNAcentral. Lineage: Eukaryota; Metazoa; Arthropoda; Insecta; Hemiptera; Cicadellidae.
AGGAUUAUAUUUAAUUAUAAUAUUUAGUUUGCAACUAAAAAGUGUUCUACUAAGAAUUAAUCUUU